RNAcentral lists this ribosomal RNA (253 nucleotides) under uncultured bacterium. Its description in RNAcentral is "partial 16S ribosomal RNA". It matches the Rfam family "Bacterial small subunit ribosomal RNA", at positions 524 to 776 of the family's 1533-position model. The record is from RNAcentral.
GACGUAGGGCGCGAGCGUUGUCCGGAUUUAUUGGGCGUAAAGAGCUCGUAGGCGGCUUGUCGCGUCGAAUGUGAAAACCCGAGGCUCAACUUCGGGCUUGCAUUCGAUACGGGCAGGCUCGAGUUCGGUAGGGGAGACUGGAAUUCCUGGUGUAGCGGUGAAAUGCGCAGAUAUCGGGAGGAACACCGGUGGCGAAGGCGGUUCUCUGGGCCUGUACUGACGCUGAGGGGCGAAAGCGUGGGGAGCGAACAGG